This 1472-nucleotide ribosomal RNA is filed under the name Natrialba aegyptia. Its description in RNAcentral is "16S ribosomal RNA". It matches the Rfam family "Archaeal small subunit ribosomal RNA". Lineage: Archaea; Methanobacteriati; Methanobacteriota; Halobacteria; Halobacteriales; Natrialbaceae. The record is from RNAcentral.
AUUCCGGUUGAUCCUGCCGGAGGUCAUUGCUAUUGGAGUCCGAUUUAGCCAUGCUAGUCGCACGAGUUUAGACUCGUGGCAGAUAGCUCAGUAACACGUGGCCAAACUACCCUAUAGAUCCGGCCAACCUCGGGAAACUGAGGCUAAUCCGGAAUAACGCUUUCAGCCUGGAGUGGCGAGAGCGUGAAACGCUCCGGCGCUAUAGGAUGUGGCUGCGGCCGAUUAGGUAGACGGUGGGGUAACGGCCCACCGUGCCAGUAAUCGGUACGGGUUGUGAGAGCAAGAGCCCGGAGACGGUAUCUGAGACAAGAUACCGGGCCCUACGGGGCGCAGCAGGCGCGAAACCUUUACACUGCACGCGAGUGCGAUAAGGGGACUCCAGGUGCGAGGGCAUAUAGUCCUCGCUUUUCUCGACCGUAGGGAGGUUGAGGAACAAGUGCUGGGCAAGACCGGUGCCAGCCGCCGCGGUAAUACCGGCAGCACAAGUGAUGACCGCUGUUAUUGGGCCUAAAGCGUCCGUAGCUGGCCAGACAAGUUUAUCGGGAAAUCUGUGCGCCUAACGCACAGGCGUCCGGUGGAAACUGCCUGGCUUGGGACCGGAAGACCUGAGGGGUACGUCUGGGGUAGGAGUGAAAUCCCGUAAUCCUGGACGGACCACCGGUGGCGAAAGCGCCUCAGGAAGACGGAUCCGACGGUGAGGGACGAAAGCUCGGGUCACGAACCGGAUUAGAUACCCGGGUAGUCCGAGCUGUAAACGAUGUCUGCUAGGUGUGACACAGGCUACGAGCCUGUGUUGUGCCGUAGGGAAGCCGUGAAGCAGACCGCCUGGGAAGUACGUCCGCAAGGAUGAAACUUAAAGGAAUUGGCGGGGGAGCACUACAACCGGAGGAGCCUGCGGUUUAAUUGGACUCAACGCCGGACAUCUCACCAGCAUCGACAGUGUGCAGUGACAGUCAGUGUGAUGAGCUUACUUGAGCCACUGAGAGGAGGUGCAUGGCCGCCGUCAGCUCGUACCGUGAGGCGUCCUGUUAAGUCAGGCAACGAGCGAGACCCGCACCCUUAAUUGCCAGCAACACCCUUGUGGUGGUUGGGUACAUUAAGAGGACUGCCAGUGCCAAACUGGAGGAAGGAACGGGCAACGGUAGGUCAGUAUGCCCCGAAUGUGCUGGGCGACACGCGGGCUACAAUGGUCGAGACAGUGGGAUGCAACGCCGAAAGGCGACGCUAAUCUCCGAAACUCGAUCGUAGUUCGGAUUGAGGGCUGAAACUCGCCCUCAUGAAGCUGGAUUCGGUAGUAAUCGCGCCUCAGAAGGGCGCGGUGAAUACGUCCCUGCUCCUUGCACACACCGCCCGUCAAAGCACCCGAGUGGGGUCCGGAUGAGGCCCGGUUUCCGGGUCGAAUCUGGGCUCCGCAAGGGGGCUUAAGUCGUAACAAGGUAGCCGUAGGGGAAUCUGCGGCUGGAUCACCUCCA